AUGGCUUCAGAAUAAAUCAUUUGCAAUAAACAAAAACCACACACACACACCUCCAUCAACUCCUCAAAUCGCAAUUCUUUUAAUUUUUUUUGGGGGUGGGGGGGAGGGGCCAAGAGAAAGACAGAAAUCUCUUAACUGUUUGAGCAAACAUGGAAAACAUGCCAUAUGAAUAAAGCACUGAAUUGGACCACUUCCCUGACUACUUCCCCAGCCACUUCCCCAACCACUUCCCUGACCAUGACCACUUGCCCAACCACUUUCCUGACCUUGACCACUUCCUUGACCACUUCCCUGACUACUUCCCCAGCCACUUCCCUGACCUGGACCACUUCCCUGACUACUUCCCCAGCCACUUCCCUGACCUGGACCACUUCCCUGACUACUUCCCCAGCCACUUCCCUUUAGCAAACAUUGCAAAUAAAUUAGUUGCAAAACGGUAUCCACUCAUUUGCAGACAGUG
RNAcentral lists this long non-coding RNA (460 nucleotides) under Sinocyclocheilus anshuiensis. RNAcentral describes it as "lncRNA (ENSSANG00000036581.1)". Lineage: Eukaryota; Metazoa; Chordata; Actinopteri; Cypriniformes; Cyprinidae. The record is from RNAcentral.